GCCCGGGUGGUCUAACUGGCAAUGAUUCGCGUUUUGGGGACUUGUCCCUACUUAAGAGUCUCGCGAGGUUCCGCGUUCGAAUCGCGGCUUGGGCC
Molecule: non-coding RNA, 95 nt
Organism: Arachnomyces sp. PD_36
Lineage: Eukaryota; Fungi; Ascomycota; Eurotiomycetes; Onygenales; Arachnomycetaceae
Source: the annotation of a GenBank genome assembly